RNAcentral lists this ribosomal RNA (429 nucleotides) under Actinomycetes bacterium. RNAcentral describes it as "Actinobacteria bacterium partial 16S ribosomal RNA". It matches the Rfam family "Bacterial small subunit ribosomal RNA", at positions 355 to 776 of the family's 1533-position model. The record is from RNAcentral. Lineage: Bacteria; Bacillati; Actinomycetota; Actinomycetes.
UAGGGAAUCUUCCGCAAUGGGCGAAAGCCUGACGGAGCAACGCCGCGUGAGUGAUGAAGGUCUUCGGAUCGUAAAACUCUGUUAUUAGGGAAGAACAAAUGUGUAAGUAACUAUGCACGUCUUGACGGUACCUAAGCAGAAAGCCACGGCUAACUACGUGCCAGCAGCCGCGGUAAUACGUAGGUGGCAAGCGUUAUCCGGAAUUAUUGGGCGUAAAGCGCGCGUAGGCGGUUUUUUAAGUCUGAUGUGAAAGCCCACGGCUCAACCGUGGAGGGUCAUUGGAAACUGGAAGCCUUGAGUGCAGAAGAGGAAAGGGGAAUUCCAUGUGUGGCGGUGAAAUGCGCCGAGAUCUGGAGGAACACCAGUGCCGAAGGCGACUUUCUGGUCUGUAACUGCCGCUGAUGUGCGAAAGCGUGGGGAUCAAACAGG